AUUGAACGCUGGCGGCAUGCUUUACACAUGCAAGUCGAACGGUAACAGGCCUUCGGGUGCUGACGAGUGGCGAACGGGUGAGUAAUGCAUCGGAACGUACCCAGAGGUGGGGGAUAACGCAGCGAAAGCUGUGCUAAUACCGCAUGUGAUCUGAGGAUGAAAGCGGGGGACCGAGCAGCAAUGUUUGGCCUCGCGCCUUUGGAGCGGCCGAUGUCGGAUUAGCUAGUUGGUGGGGUAAAGGCCUACCAAGGCGACGAUCCGUAGCUGGCCUGAGAGGACGACCAGCCACACUGGGACUGAGACACGGCCCAGGCUCCUACGGGAGGCAGCAGUGGGGAAUUUUGGACAAUGGGCGCAAGCCUGAUCCAGCAAUGCCGCGUGCGGGAAGAAGGCCUUCGGGUUGUAAACCGCUUUUGGCAGGAACGAAACGGUGUCCGCUAAUACCGGGCGCUAAUGACGGUACCUGCAGAAUAAGCACCGGCUAACUACGUG
This 492-nucleotide ribosomal RNA is filed under the name uncultured bacterium. RNAcentral's name for it is "partial 16S ribosomal RNA". It matches the Rfam family "Bacterial small subunit ribosomal RNA", at positions 29 to 507 of the family's 1533-position model. The record is from RNAcentral.